This 146-nucleotide non-coding RNA is filed under the name Ailuropoda melanoleuca (giant panda). Its description in RNAcentral is "Eukaryotic large subunit ribosomal RNA". It matches the Rfam family "Eukaryotic large subunit ribosomal RNA", at positions 1190 to 1339 of the family's 3401-position model. The record is from Rfam by way of RNAcentral. Lineage: Eukaryota; Metazoa; Chordata; Mammalia; Carnivora; Ursidae.
AAAUACCCCUAUCAUUAACAAAAUUAAGCUAUUAGACAAAAACCUAUUAGGACGGUGGUCAUGGAAGUUGAAAUUCACUAAGGACUGUGUAACAACUUGCCUGCCAAAUCAACUAGCCCUGAAAAUGGAUGGUGCCUGAGAGUAGG